AUUGAACGCUGGCGGAAUGCUUUACACAUGCAAGUCGAGCGGCAGCGCGGGGGCAACCCUGGCGGCGAGCGGCGAACGGGUGAGUAAUACAUCGGAACGUGUCCUUAAGUGGGGGAUAGCUCGGCGAAAGCCGGAUUAAUACCGCAUAAGCUCUGAGGAGGAAAGCGGGGGCUCCGUAAGGACCUCGCGCUGUUGGAGCGGCCGAUGUCGGAUUAGCUAGUUGGUGGGGUAAAGGCCCACCAAGGCGACGAUCCGUAGCUGGUCUGAGAGGACGAUCAGCCACACUGGCACUGCGACACGGGCCAGACUCCUACGGGAGGCAGCAGUAAGGAAUAUUGCGCAAUGGGCGAAAGCCUGACGCAGCGACGCCGCGU
RNAcentral lists this ribosomal RNA (374 nucleotides) under uncultured bacterium. RNAcentral's name for it is "bacterial SSU rRNA". It matches the Rfam family "Bacterial small subunit ribosomal RNA", at positions 29 to 402 of the family's 1533-position model. The record is from RNAcentral.